CUACGGGAUGCUCCAGUAAGGAAUAUUGGGCAAUGGACGCAAGUCUGACCCAGCCAUGCCGCGUGAAGGAUGAAGGCCCUCUGGGUUGUAAACUUCUUUUAUCUGGGGCGAAAGGCGGUUAUUCUUAGCCGUUUGACAGUACCAGAGGAAUAAGCACCGGCUAACUCCGUGCCAGCAGCCGCGGUAAUACGGAGGGUGCAAGCGUUAUCCGGAUUCACUGGGUUUAAAGGGUGCGUAGGUGGAUCUGUAAGUCAGAGGUGAAAUCCCCGAGCUUAACUUGGGAACUGCCUUUGAUACUAUAGAUCUUGAAUAUCGUGGAGGUAAGCGGAAUAUGUCAUGUAGCGGUGAAAUGCAUAGAGAUGACAUAGAGCACCAAUUGCGAAGGCAGCUUGCUACACGAUGAUUGACACUGAGGCACGAAAGCGUGGGGAGCAAACAGGAUUAGAUACCCUAGUAGUC
RNAcentral lists this ribosomal RNA (459 nucleotides) under uncultured bacterium. RNAcentral's name for it is "partial 16S ribosomal RNA". It matches the Rfam family "Bacterial small subunit ribosomal RNA", at positions 339 to 795 of the family's 1533-position model. The record is from RNAcentral.